UGGGGAAUAUUGCACAAUGGGCGCAAGCCUGAUGCAGCCAUGCCGCGUGUAUGAAGAAGGCCUUGGGUUGUAAAGUACUUUCAGCGGGGAGGAAGGCGAUAAGGUUAAUAACCUUGUCGAUUGACGUUACCCGCAGAAGAAGCACCGGCUAACUCCGUGCUAG
RNAcentral lists this ribosomal RNA (163 nucleotides) under uncultured bacterium. Its description in RNAcentral is "partial 16S rRNA". It matches the Rfam family "Bacterial small subunit ribosomal RNA", at positions 355 to 511 of the family's 1533-position model. The record is from RNAcentral.